RNAcentral lists this ribosomal RNA (488 nucleotides) under uncultured bacterium. RNAcentral's name for it is "partial 16S ribosomal RNA". It matches the Rfam family "Bacterial small subunit ribosomal RNA", at positions 28 to 506 of the family's 1533-position model. The record is from RNAcentral.
GAUGAACGCUAGCGGCAGGCUUAAUACAUGCAAGUCGAGGGGCAGCAGGACUGUAGCAAUACAGUUGCUGGCGACCGGCAAACGGGUGCGGAACACGUACGCAACCUACCCAAAACUGGGGGAUAGCCCGGGGAAACCCGGAUUAAUACCUCGUAACCUUUUUAAGUGGCAUCACUUGAUAAGUAUAGCUCCGGCGGUUUUGGAUGGGCGUGCGCCUGAUUAGGUAGUUGGUGCGGGUAACGGCCCACCAAGCCUGCGAUCAGUAACUGGUUUGAGAGCACGACCAGUCACACGGGCACUGAGACACGGGCCCGACUCCUACGGGAGGCAGCAGUAAGGAAUAUUGGUCAAUGGACGCAAGUCUGAACCAGCCAUGCCGCGUGAAGGAUGAAGGUCCUCUGGAUUGUAAACCUCUUUUAUGGGGGACGAAACCCGGAUAUUCUUAUCCGAUUGACGGUACCUCAGGAAUAAGCACCGGCUAACUCCGU